This 865-nucleotide ribosomal RNA is filed under the name Rugamonas rubra. RNAcentral describes it as "bacterial SSU rRNA". It matches the Rfam family "Bacterial small subunit ribosomal RNA", at positions 60 to 921 of the family's 1533-position model. Lineage: Bacteria; Pseudomonadati; Pseudomonadota; Betaproteobacteria; Burkholderiales; Oxalobacteraceae. The record is from RNAcentral.
AGUCGAACGGCAGCGCGGGGCAACCUGGYGGCGAGUGGCGAACGGGUGAGUAAUAUAUCGGAACGUACCCUNGAGUGGGGGAUAACGUAGCGAAAGUUACGCUAAUACCGCAUACGAUCUANGGAUGAAAGUGGGGGAUUCGCAAGAACCUCAUGCUCGUGGAGCGGCCGAUAUCUGAUUAGCUAGUUGGUAGGGUAAAAGCCUACCAAGGCAUCGAUCAGUAGCUGGUCUGAGAGGACGACCAGCCACACUGGAACUGAGACACGGUCCAGACUCCUACGGGAGGCAGCAGUGGGGAAUUUUGGACAAUGGGCGAAAGCCUGAUCCAGCAAUGCCGCGUGAGUGAAGAAGGCCUUCGGGUUGUAAAGCUCUUUUGUCAGGGAAGAAACGGUGGACUCUAAUACAGGCCACUAAUGACGGUACCUGAAGAAUAAGCACCGGCUAACUACGUGCCAGCAGCCGCGGUAAUACGUAGGGUGCAAGCGUUAAUCGGAAUUACUGGGCGUAAAGCGUGCGCAGGCGGUUUUGUAAGUCUGACGUGAAAUCCCCGGGCUCAACCUGGGAAUUGCGUUGGAGACUGCAAGGCUAGAGUUUGGCAGAGGGGGGUAGAAUUCCACGUGUAGCAGUGAAAUGCGUAGAUAUGUGGAGGAACACCGAUGGCGAAGGCAGCCCCCUGGGUCAAGACUGACGCUCAUGCACGAAAGCGUGGGGAGCAAACAGGAUUAGAUACCCUGGUAGUCCACGCCCUAAACGAUGUCUACUAGUUGUCGGGUCUUAAUUGACUUGGUAACGCAGCUAACGCGUGAAGUAGACCGCCUGGGGAGUACGGUCGCAAGAUUAAAACUCAAAGGAAUUGACGGGGACC